GCAAGUCGAACGAGAAAGCUCCUUCGGGAGUGAGCAGAGUGGCGCACGGGUGAGUAACACGUAGGUGACCUACCUUUUGGCGGGGGAUAACUCGGAGAAAUCCGGGCUAAUACCGCGUAAGCAAAGCAAAUUUGGAAAUAGCUUUGGAAAGGGUGCUUCGGCAUCCACCGAAAGAUGGGCCUGCGGGACAUUAGCUUGAUGGUGGGGUAACGGCCUACCAUGGCUACGAUGUCUAGCGGAUCUGAGAGGAUGAUC
Molecule: ribosomal RNA, 255 nt
Filed under: uncultured bacterium
Lineage: Bacteria
Description: partial 16S ribosomal RNA
Rfam family: Bacterial small subunit ribosomal RNA
Source: RNAcentral